GAUGAACGCUGGCGGCGUGCCUAAUGCAUGCAAGUCGAGCGAACGGACGAGAAGCUUGCUUCUCUGAUGUUAGCGGCGGACGGGUGAGUAACACGUGGAUAACCUACCUAUAAGACUGGGAUAACUUCGGGAAACCGGAGCUAAUACCGGAUGAUAUUUUGAACCGCAUGAUUCAAAAGUGAAAGACGGUCUUGCUGUCACUUAUAGAUGGAUCCGCGCUGCAUUAGCUAGUUGGUAAGGUAACGGCUUACCAAGGCAACGAUGCAUAGCCGACCUGAGAGGGUGAUCGGCCACACUGGAACUGAGACACGGUCCAGACUCCUACGGGAGGCAGCAGUAGGGAAUCUUCCGCAAUGGGCGAAAGCCUGACGGAGCAACGCCGCGUGAGUGAUGAAGGUCUUCGGAUCGUAAAACUCUGUUAUUAGGGAAGAACAUAUGUGUAAGUAACUGUGCACAUCUUGACGGUACCUAAUCAGAAAGCCACGGCUAACUACGUG
Molecule: ribosomal RNA, 497 nt
Filed under: uncultured bacterium
Lineage: Bacteria
Description: partial 16S ribosomal RNA
Rfam family: Bacterial small subunit ribosomal RNA
Source: RNAcentral